RNAcentral lists this long non-coding RNA (955 nucleotides) under Nicotiana tabacum (common tobacco). RNAcentral's name for it is "long non-coding RNA (NTAB_LNC002868)". The record is from RNAcentral. Lineage: Eukaryota; Viridiplantae; Streptophyta; Magnoliopsida; Solanales; Solanaceae.
UCUUUUUCGUUCCCUACCUAACAGAAAAUAAUUUAGGGACUUUUUAUGCUCCUAAUUAAUGUACCAACCCCCUCCCCUCUCUCCAACCCAUCAUUUUUUAAGCGAUCCGAACCUAUUUUUCUUCUUCUAUUAAGAUUUAUUUCCCUCCUUCUUCAAAACCCUAGCCCCUCUUCUAAAAUUCUCAAUUCUGCUCAAGUGAGUAUUAUUUUUUCUUUAAUUCUAGUAAAUUUCUUAUUGUGUAGAGUUUUAGAGUAAGAUUAAAGUCAUCUUCUUUAUUUAUUUAUUUAUUUCCAUUGUUCAUGAAGUUUCUCAAUUUUCUAGUUUUUCUACGGGUGUAAUAGGAUGUGUUUCUAUGGAACUCUUGAGAAUCCUAGAAGACGUUUUUUUAGGUGCCCAAAGCCUUAUGUAAUUGGCCGUUUGUAUCUUGUGAAUUUUGUGUCUAAUUUUGAACAUACUUAUAUGGAUCAUUUGUUCUAAUGUUAUAAUUUUUUUAUUGCAGAAUAAGGGGUUAUGUGGUUAUUGGGAAUGGGAAGACGAUGAAUUCUCUUCGAAAGUUUUAGUUGUCAUCAAUAAAUUGAAGAGGGGAAAGGAGGCUCUUGUGAGGAAAAUAGAUUUUUUGUAGAAAAAAUCAGAUUAUCUUCAUAUUGAAAUCAAUGUAUUAAAGGAAAAAGUUGCUGCCUUUGAAGCUUCUUCUACUGAUCAUGAUAGAGUAGUUGCAAAGUUGUUGGGUUCUCAUUCUUAUGCAUUUAACAUUCUUAUGUUAAAUGCAUUGUUGUUGUUCGAUUGAUUGUAAUGGCAUUAGGAUGUUUAACGAAAUAUAAAGUAUGUAAUGUAUUUUCUUAUGGUAAAAGAUAUUAGCAAUAUUAUUUGAGCCUAUAAGAAAUGGACUUAAAUACUAGUAUUGUGAUGCAUUUUCAAAGUUAAUGUAUAAUUGCAGUGCAAUAAAGCUUGCUGA